AGAACGAACGCUGGCGGCAGGCCUCAAACAUGCAAGUCUAGGGGGUGUAGCAAUACAUCACCGGCGGACGGGUGCGUAACACGUGGGAAUAUACCUUUUGGUUCGGAACAACGCAGGGAAACUUGCGCUAAUACCGAAUGUGCCCUUACGGGGGAAAGAUUUAUCGCCAAAAGGAUUAGCCCGCGUAGGAUUAGCUAGUUGGUGAGGUAAUGGCUCACCAAGGCUCCGAUCCUUAGCUGUUCUGAGAGGAAGAUCAGCCACACUGGGACUGAGACACGGCCCAGACUCCUACGGGAGGCAGCAGUUGGGAAUCUUGGACAAUGGGGAAACCCUGAUCCAGCCAUGCCGCGUGAGUGAUGAAGGCCUUCGGGUUGUAAAACUCUUUCGGACGGGACGAUAAUGACGGUACCCGUAGAAGAAGCUCCGGCUAACUUCGCGCCAGCAGCCGC
RNAcentral lists this ribosomal RNA (449 nucleotides) under uncultured bacterium. RNAcentral describes it as "SSU rRNA". It matches the Rfam family "Bacterial small subunit ribosomal RNA", at positions 26 to 518 of the family's 1533-position model. The record is from RNAcentral.